This 1859-nucleotide long non-coding RNA is filed under the name Homo sapiens (human). RNAcentral's name for it is "HSALNT0408944". The record is from RNAcentral. Lineage: Eukaryota; Metazoa; Chordata; Mammalia; Primates; Hominidae.
AUUCUCUGGUGUUCUGGUUCAGUCUGAGUUUUAGGCAGGCUCGGUGUCUCCCUUGAUCUUACAGUAGGGCAUUAUUGAUCCUGUUCCUUCCACAGCAGUAGACUCUAUUUUUCUUGGCCAUGAAUGUGUUUCUGCCCUUUCCCUAGGGGGAAGAGGGGAAGAUAAUUCAUAUGGAGCAUCACACCAGCUAUCUCCUGCUCCCUGUCCUGCACUGCAAAGGAGGCCUUUUCAUCCUCUCUACUGCCUCCAAUUUUUCUCACGAGGAAUGUGAGAGGAAAACCUGUAUCUGCACAGCUUCACAGAAGAUUAUCUGGAUCUGGAGAAGAGGUGGGUGUCUCUGGGAAAGAAGCAGAGAGGCCCACAGACAGAAGGGAUUAGCCUUAUCUCAGAUGAGAUUUUGGACUUGGACUUUUGAAUUAAUCCUUCAAUGACCAUAGUUUAAGAAGAGAUAUCUUGAAAACACGGAAAGAGAAAAGUCAAUACAAUAUUUCCUAAUUUUUUAAGAGGUCAGAGAAGGGAGUUACUGUGUGGCCUGGAGCAGGUGAUUCUGACUACCAAGGGAAAAUUGGAGUACUACUCCACAAUGGAGGGUCUGCAGGAUGGACCCGGCAGCUGGUGCCCUGUGUGAGGAACGCUGCAACGGACUGCGACAGAACCCUCGAAAACGAAGGUGAAGAGACUGUGCAGUCAUGUGACAGACACAUCAAACCAUACCAUGGCGUGGCUAAGACCCAAGCUGGUAUCAAAAAUAAAGGAAACGACGCUGCAGGACCCGCAGCCCCAGACGAUGUGGCUUCCUCCGAUGACACAGGCCCCAGACAUUACCUGGGGGAAGCUGAAGAAGACAACUCAGGAGGCCGAGUGAAUCCUUCUCUGGACACAGACACCAUCACUCCAGAUAAUCUGUUCCUUGCUAUGCUCUCUAUUGUACCUUGCAACUCUCAUAGGGUAUUCACCUUUCUUAUUCUCUCACUUUGCCUGCAACUCAUACCUGCUACAUUCUAUUGGGCCCAUCUUCUAAGAUCUGCCUUUCUUCCAACCUGUUACCUUGGCAGACACCCCCUUCCCAUCCUCUAAUAAUGUAACUGCUUAGCUGGGAGGGGUUGACAUGCCCCCAGUGGGGUUCCUUAAUAAUGGCACACAUUGAACUGAGGUGCCAAGUAACACUACAUAUCUCUCCUUGAUUGGAAAAGAAUAAUAGUGACUAUACUAAUGUUUGACUUAUGUUAUUUACUAAUUCUAGGAUGCAAAGCCGGAACACGAGCUGUAACCGCUGCGCCUGUCAAAUCUGUCACUGCACACAUCUGUACUAUUCAAUCAACAAAACCCGAUGCUAAAAACAGAAAAGGGGGAGACGCGGGAGAUCGGUCAGAGUGGUAGGAGAAGGUAUAGGGAAAGGAACAGACCUUCUGAAAGGCGGGAAGGCUCUGGAUAGCUUCAGGGAUGAAUAAGCUGAAGGCAGCUGUUCUCUUACCCUGAGGCAGAGGGCAAGGGGUAGGUAAGGAAGUAUAGGGGAAUUUGGCAUAAACAGGCUUGUUUACUUACAUUGUCCGGAAACCGACUUUGAUCAUCAGGGCAGGAGACUGCUCCCUGAAAGGGGGAAUAAUAAUGUUAAUUACCCACAGAUUGUGUUGGCUCCAGGCUUUCAUUAUUUUGUCUGUACUGAAUAAAAGCAAGCAGCUCCAGCUGUUCGAGACUGCUCACUCUUCAGCCAUUAGUGCUGGGCAUUCCUGUAGCUGCUCUUACACUGCAUGCCUGUGGCUGAGUACUCCUUUCAUCCGUUGCUUGGCCAGGGUCUGUGGGAUGGACCCCGCAGGUAAGGGUUAUCAAAAAAAAAAAAAAUUCACAGGCAGAUAGGA